CCCCGCCCGGCUGGCCCCCGGCGACCGACGCCCCGCGGCCCUCGCCCUUCCCGCCCCCGGCGCUGCCCGCCCUCCACGGCUUGGCCCGCGCGCUGCUGUUCCCGGCCUACUGGGCCCUGGACCAGCUGCAGGGUGGCUGAGGAGGGCGGCGGGCGGCGGCGCGGCGCUGCUGCUGCUGCUGGUGGUCGGCCCGCCCCUGGCGCUGCCCGGCCUGCCGCUCUGGCUGGUGCCGCAGGUUUGGCGCCGCCCCUUCUGCUACCGCUCCCCUCCGCUGUGCUGGGCGCCGCCCGCGCUCUGGCGCCCGCCUGCCGAACCCAGGCGCUGCUUCGUCUUCCUCACCGCCAAUCUGUGCCUGCUCCCCGACGGGCAAGCGCGCUUCGGCAACCUACCGCACAGCCAGCGACCGGCCGAGGCCAUUGGCGCCGCGCUGCUGGGCGGCGCGCGGCCCGCGCUCUACAGGGCUACGGACUGCAGCCAGCCGUGGCCCAGGGCGCUGCGCGGGACGCUGGUGGCCUCGCUGCCCGUGGGUCUGGACUUUGUGUGCCUGCAGGAGGUAUUCGAUCUGCGCAGGGCUCGUCGCUUGGUGAAUCGCCUGGCGCCCAACCUGGGCCCGUUGCUGUACGACGUGGGCACGCUCGGCCUACAGCCCGGGCGGCACCUCAAGCUGCUGGACAGCGGGCUGCUGCUGGCCUCGCGCUACCCGCUGCUGCGCGCCACCUUCCGUUGCUUCCCCCACGCACGUGGCGAGGACGCGCUGGCCUCCAAGGGACUACCGUCCGCACAGGCGAGGCUGGGCAGCCUGGACGGGCGCCGCAUCGUGGGAUUCCUGCACUGCACGCAUUUGCAAGUACUGGCUGAGGACGGGCCCUUGCGCAGCAAACAGCUGACGCCGCUGCUGGACUGGGCCGAGAAGUUUGGGGCCGAGAAGUUUGAGGCCGACAGAGAACAAAGUGGAGAGGUCGUGGCUUUCAGCGUGCUCCUGGGCGACCUAAACUUCGAUAACUGCUCGAAAGGUCCAGCAGGAGAGGAGGGCGAGGAGGGGCGGAGCCAGGAGGCCCGGCCCCGCCCACCGCGCGCCCGCCUCUCUCUGCAGACCACCGGCUGGAGCAGGAGCACGAGCUUUUCCGCUGUUUCCAGGAUCCCUGCCGGCUGGGCACGCGCCAAAAGCAGCCCUGGGCCCUGGGGACCGCGCUGAGCACCUCCGUGCUCCACCAGUCCGUGGCCUCCUCCCCCAAGAUGCCGAGGAGGACCCUGGAGCAGGAGAAAGGGCGCCACCUCUACCUGGCCGGCCUUCCCGGCAGAAGCCGCCGAGCUAAGCCCUGGAGAGGUCGGCGCCUGGACUACAUCACGUACCGCGGAGUUCCCGGGUGGC
Molecule: small RNA, 1372 nt
Filed under: Pan troglodytes (chimpanzee)
Lineage: Eukaryota; Metazoa; Chordata; Mammalia; Primates; Hominidae
Description: processed transcript
Source: RNAcentral